CAGAGUUCUCGCCCUCGCGGGUAGAUCUCCCACCCACUGUUAUCGUUACUAUCGUUGCUUUGGCGGGCCGCCGGGUCCUGCCCGGCCCCCGGCUUCGGCUGGGGCGUGCCCGCCAGAGGCCCUACAAACUCUGAAUGUUAGUGUCGUCUGAGUACUAUAUAAUAGUUA
This 168-nucleotide unclassified non-coding RNA is filed under the name uncultured fungus. Its description in RNAcentral is "sequence contains ITS1, 5.8S rRNA gene". RNAcentral also lists the same sequence under 1 other name. Lineage: Eukaryota; Fungi. The record is from RNAcentral.